This 488-nucleotide ribosomal RNA is filed under the name uncultured bacterium. RNAcentral describes it as "bacterial SSU rRNA". It matches the Rfam family "Bacterial small subunit ribosomal RNA", at positions 29 to 513 of the family's 1533-position model. The record is from RNAcentral.
AGCGAACGUUUGCGGCGGGCCUAACACAUGCAAGUCGAACGCACUAGCAAUAGUGAGUGGCGCACGGGUGCGUAACACGUGGGUAAUCAACCCUUCAGCCUGGGAUAACGACUCGAAAGGGUCGCUAAUACCGGAUACGGCGCGAGAGGCUUCGGCUUCUCACGAGAAAGCCACGCAAGGGGCACUGAAGGACGAGCCUGCGGCCCAUCAGCUAGUUGGUGAGGUAAGAGCUCACCAAGGCUAAGACGGGUAGCUGGUUUGAGAGAAUGAUCAGCCACACUGGCACUGGAACACGGGCCAGACUCCUACGGGAGGCAGCAGUGAGGAAUAUUGGGCAAUGGGCGAAAGCCUGACCCAGCCACGCCGCGUGAGUGAUGAAGGCCCUCGGGUCGUAAAGCUCUGUGGAGAGGGACGAAAACCCUGGUUUCAAAUAGGCUCCAGGCUUGACGGUACCUCUUUAGCAAGCACCGGCUAACUCUGUGCCAGCA